RNAcentral lists this long non-coding RNA (1945 nucleotides) under Piliocolobus tephrosceles (Ugandan red Colobus). RNAcentral's name for it is "lncRNA (ENSPTEG00000038785.1)". The record is from RNAcentral. Lineage: Eukaryota; Metazoa; Chordata; Mammalia; Primates; Cercopithecidae.
UCUUUUGUUUUUAAAAGAAAAUAAUUUUGAUUUUAAUGAAUGGAUAAUUAAUGGAAUCGGAUAUUUAAGACCAAGUGAAGAAGAAGAAAAGAAAAAAGAUAUUAUACAAAAAAUCAAUGAAUUAAACAACUUACUUAACAAUAGUAACACAAAUAGUGACAAAAGUAAUGGAGUAAACAAAAAUGAAAAGGAAAUAGACAUUAAUAAAAUUGUGAACGAAAUAGAACAUAAUAAAGUUGUUUAUGAUGAAGACAAAGAAAUAAUUAUUGACAUUAUUAAAAAAAUUGGCGUAUGGUUAAAUAAAUCAUACUAUAAAUUAAACGGUUCUGGUAUUGUAGAAGGUACUGUUUUUGAAACUACUAAAAUACAACCGCAAAUUAACAGCGAACAGGUACAAAACCCCGAUACAAUAUGCGACGAAAAAAAAAUUGAUAUUUUUAAUAAAAACAUGCAUAAACAUAAAAAUAAUAUUGAAGACGAUAGUUUAUGUGACAGUAAAAGUAAUAGUACAUAUAGGAAUAAAAAUGAUAAUAACAAUUUUGUUUUUCAAAAUGGUGAUGACUUAUAUGAUUUGUUAAGAGAAGAUACAAAAAGGCAUAACAAUAUUUAUUUAAGAAAUGACAAUUUUAUAACAAAUAGUAACUCUGUAGAUAGUACCAGUUGUAGCAACAAUAGCCUAUUGGUUAAUAAAACUAAAACGUCAAAUAAUAUAUCUGUUUUAGAAAAAAAAGAAUUGUUUAGUCAGUAUAAUAAAACGAUAGUAGAACAUUCAAACAGCUCCAAGAAUACUAUAACAAAUAGUUCCCUUGAUGAAUGUCCAUUAUAUAUAGAAAUAGAAAACCCAUAUGUUCGAUUACUUGCACAUACCAUCAUUACAAAAUAUUUUAACAACAUUUUUUGUAUGUCUGUUAAAGUAAAUGAUAAAAAACAAUUGGCUAUUUAUAAAAGUGAAAAGGAUUCAUAUAAAGAGCAAAUAAGAACUUAUGAAUUGGAAAUAGAAAAAAUUAAUAAAACGGUUGGUGUUCGUUUAUUAUUUGAUGAAAUUAUAAAAAAUAAAAAAAUUAUAGUUGGUCAUAAUUGUUUUUAUGAUAUUUUACAUAUAUAUCAAACAUUUUAUAAUGAACUUCCAAAUUCUAUUGGUGUUUUUAAAAAAAACUGGACGCAGUUAUUUCCAUAUACUUUUGAUACAAAAUACAUGAAUGAAACAAAUGAAUAUUUAUAUGCUUUAAAUGGGCCAGCAACAUUGAAAGGAUUAUGUGAAUAUAUGGCUUCAUUAAUUUCUUCUACUAAUGAUUUUGGUUUUGUUUUUAAUUUUAUGAAUGGAAAUAAUAUAGACGUACCACAUUGUCUUGUACCGUUUGUCAAUAGUAACGGUGGGGUUAAUUUUUUUUCGGAAUGUAGUGAGAAUGAUACUCACAUGAAUAAUGAUUGUGUUGGUCAGGAGGAAGUGACAAAUACAUAUGCUUUAAAUAGUGUUAGUUGUAGUAGUAACAAUUCUAGUAGUGAUAACCAAAACGAUGUACGGUUAAUAAAUAAUAACGUUACAUGUACUAAUAGCAGUAACGACAAAAAUGUAGCAAAAACGAGUGACGAACACAACGCAGGUUAUGACAGUCUUUUAACUUGUUUGCUUUUUAUAUUUCAAUGUCAUUAUAUUUUAAAAAAUAAUAAUAAGCAUUGGAGAAAUAUUUAUUUUGAUAGACAAACUGAUGUUAUAAAUAGUAAUAAUAAUAAUAACAGUUUUUUCACUUUUUUUUUAAAUAUGUGUAACAAAAUAAAAAUUGUGAAAACACAACCAAAUGUUGUGUCUUUAACAAGUCAGGAAAAUCACGAAAUGGAAAGACAUUUUUAUAUGUAUGAUUACCCAAGUUAUUUUAAAAAAUGGGAAAUCAUGAAGAUAUGGUCUCCUAUAUGGAUCUCGUUAAGUAAGGUAAACGACCAGGCU